UCAUUUUUAUAUCCUAAACUCACGAAGGUUUAAAUCGGGUCUCUAAAAAGAUAAAAAUCCCGUCCUAAUAAGCUAAGCUCAGCGGGAGCGAGAGGCCUCACCACACUAAUAUAAAAGACUAAACUCAUGUUAAUUAUCCCUCACCUCUCUUUCUCUCCCGUAUUUUUCCCAAAAUGAAACCUUAUCCUCUGUAUAUGUUUUUUAAUUUGAAAGCAUGUAAAAUUCUUAAAAAUCAACUCUUCCAAAUAUCUCUCCCAAAGGCUGAAGACUCACAAAUCGGCGCCCGUGAUGACGAGUUGUCAAUCUGUACAUGGUUUGAAGAGAUGAGCUUACAAGUCAAGAUGCAAGUUUUGAAGACUUCAUAGCUCGAGAAUUUGUUAUCAUUUUGCUAGGAUUGUUAGGGGAAAAAAAAUUUAUAUUUUUGCUAAGAGGGUUGUUGUAAACAGUACCAUGACAUAUGCAUUAUGGUUAUAUAUAUAGCGUGAUGUACAUUUUUUGUGAUUAAUUACCAAAUUUAUACAUGUAUAUGCUUAGUUGUAUAAGAAAAGUGAUCUAUUGAUCUCUUCUUUAUGUG
Molecule: long non-coding RNA, 574 nt
Organism: Lycium ferocissimum
Lineage: Eukaryota; Viridiplantae; Streptophyta; Magnoliopsida; Solanales; Solanaceae
Exons: 2
Source: RefSeq, a predicted model, not a curated record